Molecule: ribosomal RNA, 253 nt
Filed under: uncultured bacterium
Lineage: Bacteria
Description: partial 16S ribosomal RNA
Rfam family: Bacterial small subunit ribosomal RNA
Source: RNAcentral
UACGUAGGGUGCGAGCGUUAAUCGGAAUUACUGGGCGUAAAGUGUGCGCAGGCGGCCGCGCAAGUCGAGUGUGAAAGCCCCGAGCUUAACUUGGGAAUGGCAUUUGGGACUGCAAGGCUUGAGUGCGGCAGAGGAGACUGGAAUUCCUGGUGUAGCAGUGAAAUGCGUAGAUAUCAGGAGGAAUACCGAUGGCGAAGGCAGGUCUCUGGGCUGACACUGACGCUCAUGCACGAAAGCGUGGGGAGCAAACAGG